GCCAGUGUAGCUCAACGGUAGAGCGGCUGAUUUGUAAUCAGCAGGUUGUGGGUUCGAAUCCCACCGCUGGCUCCA
RNAcentral lists this transfer RNA (75 nucleotides) under Thermotogota bacterium. RNAcentral describes it as "Thermotogae bacterium (oil production facility metagenome) tRNA-Thr". It matches the Rfam family "tRNA". Rfam says of the family: Transfer RNA (tRNA) molecules are approximately 80 nucleotides in length. Their secondary structure includes four short double-helical elements and three loops (D, anti-codon, and T loops). RNAcentral also lists the same sequence under 1 other name. Lineage: Bacteria; Thermotogati; Thermotogota. The record is from RNAcentral.